Cyanistes caeruleus (blue tit) is the source of this 2396-nucleotide long non-coding RNA. The record is from Ensembl. Lineage: Eukaryota; Metazoa; Chordata; Aves; Passeriformes; Paridae.
UAAUUUUAAAAAAAUCUUUGUUUUUCUACUGUGGACACACACACAGACACUCGUUUUCAGUCAUUCAUUGCUAUUUCCCUUCGUUUUGUAGGCUCGUCCAAAAGGAGAAGGCCUGACACCGUACCAGGGCAAGAAACGCUGCUUUGGUGAAUAUAAGUGCCCCAAAUGCAAGAGAAAAUGGAUGAGUGGAAACUCCUGGGCUAACAUGGGACAAGAAUGUAUCAAGUGCCACAUUAAUGUUUAUCCUCACAAACAGAGACCCCUGGAAAAGCCGGACGGCCUGGAUGUUUCAGACCAGAGCAAAGAACAUCCUCAGCAUCUGUGUGAGAAGUGCAAAGUUUUGGGCUACUACUGCCGCCGUGUGCAAUAAACCUUCCAAGUGGCCUCUUCCCAUCCCCGUCAAAAGAUUCUCUGGCAGCAUGCGAUCAACAGCAGCACAACAGAUCAAGAUAAAAGCUGAAAUAAUUGCCAAUAUUGCCUAUCUAAUAAUAUGCCUUACCAUUAAUAGAAUGUAACAUUUCUCCUGUGCAUGUGCAUGCAUGCAAUAGGUAUUUACAGGACGAUGAUUUGUAUACAUAUAUAUGUAAAUUUAUAUGUGUACACACAUGAAGUGUUACUGAGGUGUUCACACCAGAACUACAGUUACAGGUUCUGCUGAUUGUUUACACAGACCCUAUAUCACAGCCAGGUGAAAUGAAGUACUUUUCAUAAGGCAAGGGAUAAUAUUCACAAGGAAUAUUUGUUACAUGUUUGGCUUUUGCAGAGGUUCAGUAACUGUGGGGCCACUAAUUGCAAGCACUCACCCACAACACUGUUCUUAUUAUAUGACAAGACAAAGGAAGAUGAAACAAGCCACAGCAUAAAAGGAGAAUUACUGCUUUCCCAGUUUUAGAAAGUCUUAAGUUUUGUGCUGCUGAUUUCUUGGACUUAUAUUUGUUACCAUCUCUUGGGCAGGGCUUAGGCAAAAUAAUUUUUGUAGGACAUGGAAAAAAAAAGUGAAUAAUUGUUUGAGGGUGUGGGUUGGGUAGAAAGGGAAUGCCAUAAGAUUCCAAGAGGUUUUUGGAGGAGACAAAAUUGGCUUGCUUGUGCAACCAGAUCCUUCUCUUGUCAUAUAAUCCCACUGACAUGGCCCCUUCUAUGUGCAUGUCAUGUUCAUUAGGCCACAAGCACACUAAAUUUUCUAUGAAUAAGGGGAUAAGAAUACUUAAAACUGACCCUAAAACCCUUAACUGAAAGAUUAGCCAAACUUACUAUUUAUAGCCGUUUUAAAGCCACUUUCUGGAAAUAUUUUUAUGUCCUCUUUUCUACUAUUGAAAUUUGUUAUAAUAUGCAACUUGUUAGCCAUAGGGGUGUUUUGAGGCAUGGAGAACAUUCUGUGUAACCCUCUUUCUUUAUGUCUUCCUGAAGCACCUACAUACCUGGGGAGAAAUUUAGGAAUUCUGUUUCAUUUCCCAUUUCAGGUAGAACUUUGCACAGGGGUGGCCUGCUGCAAAGAACAUCUCAUCAGGGAUUGGCAAAUAUAGACUGAAAGUACCUCGAGACAGUAUUCUGUUUGUUUGUCUGUGUGAGAGUACAUUGGCAAAAGGACACAACAGGCAAUUUGUAGCGUUCACUAAAAACUUAGAGGGAUAAUGUUUGAGGUUGGGGGGGUUUACAUCAGCAGUUUAUAUUUUUAUGAAGUUUCCUUUAGGCAGAUUGAUUUCUGUGAAUGAUACUUAGAGAAAAUACUUUAAAUCCUAAAUAGCUUGAUGUGAACUAAAUUUAUUUUGAAGUUCCCUAAUGCAAAGACAGCAGGGGGUUUAUGCCAAGUGAUAGCAGGAUGUUACCAGUAUGUCAAGACAAGCUCUUACAAAGCAAGUAGAAAACUUACCAUGAGCAUUCACCUAGGGAAGAUGAUGCUCCUGACAAAUUUGCUCCUGGGUGAAACUGUUGCCAUUUCCCUGCUUUGCUAUAAGCAGGGCAAAAUUGUAUCUGCUUGUUCGGUGGGAGUGGCAUGUACACAUCUUGCAAUCUCCAUUAUUUUUGGGCAGCCCAGGUGACCCAGCCUGCUGGUCACAGCAGUGCAUGAGCAGCCUGACUCCUGGCUGCUGACCACAGCUCUUCCAUAGCUCCCUGAUUUUGGGCAAGUCACAUCAUCCUUCUAGACCUCAGUUUCCCCAACUGCAAAAUGGGGGUAAUAAUACUUUUGCAUACCUACCUCACAGGAGAGUUGUGAGGUUUACUUAAUAUCUCUUAAGUGUUUUGGCAUCACUGGAUGAAAAGUGCUAUGUAAUGCUAAAAUAGAAUUAACUGAAUUAAUCACUUGGAAACUACUUUUGCCCAGUUGGCAACUCCAACUAAAGUAGCUGAAAAUAAUAUUAUUGAAAGUAACACUAAUAAACAGUUCAGUUGCCUCA